UCCCUGAUAGCUCAGUUGGUAAAGAAUCUGCCUGCAUUGCAGAAGCCCCUGGUUCGAUUCCUGGGCUGGGAA
Molecule: transfer RNA, 72 nt
Filed under: Bos taurus (domestic cattle)
Lineage: Eukaryota; Metazoa; Chordata; Mammalia; Artiodactyla; Bovidae
Also listed under: 1 other name
Rfam family: tRNA
About the family: Transfer RNA (tRNA) molecules are approximately 80 nucleotides in length. Their secondary structure includes four short double-helical elements and three loops (D, anti-codon, and T loops). Further hydrogen bonds mediate the characteristic L-shaped molecular structure. tRNAs have two regions of fundamental functional importance: the anti-codon, which is responsible for specific mRNA codon recognition, and the 3' end, to which the tRNAs corresponding amino acid is attached (by aminoacyl-tRNA synthetases). tRNAs cope with the degeneracy of the genetic code in two manners: having more than one tRNA (with a specific anti-codon) for a particular amino acid; and 'wobble' base-pairing, i.e. permitting non-standard base-pairing at the 3rd anti-codon position.
Source: Rfam by way of RNAcentral